This 173-nucleotide ribosomal RNA is filed under the name uncultured bacterium. RNAcentral's name for it is "partial 16S ribosomal RNA". It matches the Rfam family "Bacterial small subunit ribosomal RNA", at positions 1319 to 1500 of the family's 1533-position model. The record is from RNAcentral.
CAUGAAGUUGGAUUCGCUGUAAUCGCGCAUCAGCCAUGGCGCGGUGAAUACGUUCCCGGGCCUUGUACACACCGCCCGUCAAGCCAUGGGAGCCGGGGGUGCCUGAAGUUCGUUACCGCAAGGAUCGACCUAGGGCAAAACUGGUGACUGGGGCUAAGUCGUAACAAGGUACC